Molecule: ribosomal RNA, 547 nt
Filed under: uncultured Glomeromycotina
Lineage: Eukaryota; Fungi; Glomeromycota
Description: SSU rRNA
Rfam family: Eukaryotic small subunit ribosomal RNA
Source: RNAcentral
UGGAGGGCAAGUCUGGUGCCAGCAGCCGCGGUAAUUCCGGCUCCAAUAGCGUAUAUUAAAGUUGUUGCAGUUAAAAAGCUCGUAGUUGAAUUUCGGAAUCAAUUUGUUGGUCGUGCCUCGGUACGUACUGGUAUUAUUGGUUUCUACCUUCUGAAGAACCUUGAUGUCAUUAAUUUGGUGUCUUGGGGAAUCAGGACUGUUACUUUGAAAAAAUUAGAGUGUUUAAAGCAAGCAUACGCUUGAAUACAUUAGCAUGGAAUAAUGAAAUAGGACGUUUGAUUCUAUUUUGUUGGUUUCUAGGAUCGACGUAAUGAUUAAUAGGGAUAGUUGGGGGCACUAGUAUUCAAUUGUCAGAGGUGAAAUUCUUGGAUUUAUUGAAGACUAACUACUGCGAAAGCAUUUGCCAAGGAUGUUUUCAUUAAUCAAGAACGAAAGUUAGGGGAUCGAAGACGAUCAGAUACCGUCGUAGUCUUAACCAUAAACUAUGCCGACUAGGGAUCGGAUGAUGUUAAUUUUUUAAUGACUCAUWMGGCGCCUUACGGGAAAC